GACGAACGCUGGCGGCGUGCCUAAUACAUGCAAGUCGAACGAACUCUGGUAUUGAUUGGUGCUUGCAUCAUGAUUUACAUUUGAGUGAGUGGCGAACUGGUGAGUAACACGUGGGAAACCUGCCCAGAAGCGGGGGAUAACACCUGGAAACAGAUGCUAAUACCGCAUAACAACUUGGACCGCAUGGUCCGAGCUUGAAAGAUGGCUUCGGCUAUCACUUUUGGAUGGUCCCGCGGCGUAUUAGCUAGAUGGUGGGGUAACGGCUCACCAUGGCAAUGAUACGUAGCCGACCUGAGAGGGUAAUCGGCCACAUUGGGACUGAGACACGGCCCAAACUCCUACGGGAGGCAGCAGUAGGGAAUCUUCCACAAUGGACGAAAGUCUGAUGGAGCAACGCCGCGUGAGUGAAGAAGGGUUUCGGCUCGUAAAACUCUGUUGUUAAAGAAGAACAUAUCUGAGAGUAACUGUUCAGGUAUUGACGGUAUUUAACCAGAAAGCCACGGCUAACUACGUGCCAGCAGCCGCGGUAAUACGUAGGUGGCAAGCGUUGUCCGGAUUUAUUGGGCGUAAAGCGAGCGCAGGCGGUUUUUUAAGUCUGAUGUGAAAGCCUUCGGCUCAACCGAAGAAGUGCAUCGGAAACUGGGAAACUUGAGUGCAGAAGAGGACGGUGGAACUCCAUGUGUAGCGGUGAAAUGCGUAGAUAUAUGGAAGAACACCAGUGGCGAAGGCGGCUGUCUGGUCUGUAACUGACGCUGAGGCUCGAAAGUAUGGGUAGCAAACAGGAUUAGAUACCCUGGUAGUCCAUACCGUAAACGAUGAAUGCUAAGUGUUGGAGGGUUUCCGCCCUUCAGUGCUGCAGCUAACGCAUUAAGCAUUCCGCCUGGGGAGUACGGCCGCAAGGCUGAAACUCAAAGGAAUUGACGGGGGCCCGCACAAGCGGUGGAGCAUGUGGUUUAAUUCGAAGCUACGCGAAGAACCUUACCAGGUCUUGACAUACUAUGCAAAUCUAAGAGAUUAGACGUUCCCUUCGGGGACAUGGAUACAGGUGGUGCAUGGUUGUCGUCAGCUCGUGUCGUGAGAUGUUGGGUUAAGUCCCGCAACGAGCGCAACCCUUAUUAUCAGUUGCCAGCAUUAAGUUGGGCACUCUGGUGAGACUGCCGGUGACAAACCGGAGGAAGGUGGGGAUGACGUCAAAUCAUCAUGCCCCUUAUGACCUGGGCUACACACGUGCUACAAUGGAUGGUACAACGAGUUGCGAACUCGCGAGAGUAAGCUAAUCUCUUAAAGCCAUUCUCAGUUCGGAUUGUAGGCUGCAACUCGCCUACAUGAAGUCGGAAUCGCUAGUAAUCGCGGAUCAGCAUGCCGCGGUGAAUACGUUCCCGGGCCUUGUACACACCGCCCGUCACACCAUGAGAGUUUGUAACACCCAAAGUCGGUGGGGUAACCUUUUAGGAACCAGCCGCCUAAGGUGGGACAGAUGAUUAGGGUGAAG
This 1492-nucleotide ribosomal RNA is filed under the name Lactiplantibacillus plantarum. Its description in RNAcentral is "partial 16S ribosomal RNA". It matches the Rfam family "Bacterial small subunit ribosomal RNA". Lineage: Bacteria; Bacillati; Bacillota; Bacilli; Lactobacillales; Lactobacillaceae. The record is from RNAcentral.